GACGAACUGUCCUAACGUUGUUCGGAAUCACUGGGCUUAAAGGGCGCGUAGGCGGUCCGACAAGUCAGGGGUGAAAUCCUGCAGCUUAACUGCAGAGGUGCCUUUGAUACUGUCGGUCUGGAGGGAGAUAGGGGUGUGCGGAACUUCCAGUGGAGCGGUGAAAUGCGUUGAUAUUGGAAGGAACGCCGGAGGCGAAAGCGGCGCACUGGAUCUCUUCUGACGCUGAGGCGCGAAAGCUAGGGGAGCAAACAGG
RNAcentral lists this ribosomal RNA (253 nucleotides) under uncultured bacterium. RNAcentral describes it as "partial 16S ribosomal RNA". It matches the Rfam family "Bacterial small subunit ribosomal RNA", at positions 524 to 776 of the family's 1533-position model. The record is from RNAcentral.